GUGCAGCUGGCUUCUGAGCUGGCUGAUUGUGGGAUGAUAUCAGGCCAUAAAGGGUGAACAGAUUCCAGUUUAUCUGGUACUGAGAGAAAAAUAGGCCCUGUAUCUUAGACAGCCCUGAUAAGGCACCUCCAUGGAUAUGAGUAAUUGUCAGACCCAGGGGAUGAACCAGGGCUGAGAAAGCUGAACAAUGGAAAGCCGGGAGCAGAGUGACAAGGAAAUUCUUCCCCUGAAUUGCCUUUUCCUAUUGAGAUAAGAUAGUAUGCAAUAAAGCGCCAGACUCAGAAGUGCUGCCACCAGUCCCAGUGGGAGUGGCUGGCACUGAGCCUGAGCGGCAGCACGUGUGAGCCUGGUGCUUUCAGCACCUGGGUGGUCCCUCAAGGGCUUGCUCAGGCCUGCCGCACAA
Molecule: long non-coding RNA, 403 nt
Filed under: Bos taurus (domestic cattle)
Lineage: Eukaryota; Metazoa; Chordata; Mammalia; Artiodactyla; Bovidae
Description: long non-coding RNA NONBTAT000756
Source: RNAcentral